GAUUAACGCUGGCGGCGUGCAUAACACAUGCAAGUCGAACGAUGAAACUUAACUGAUUUCUUCGGAAUGAUUUUAAGUGGAUUAGUGGCGGACGGGUGAGUAACGCGUGAGUAACCUGCCUUGGAGAAGGGGAUAGCCUUUGGAAACGAAGAAUAAUACCCUAUGAUAUGAUAAUAUCUCAUGAUAUUAUCAUCAAAGAUUUAUCGCUCUAAGAUGGACUUGCGUCUGAUUAGUUAGUUGGUGAGGUAACAGCUCACCAAGGCAGCGAUCAGUAGCCGGCUUGAGAGAGUGUACGGCCACAUUGGGACUGAGACACGGCCCAGACUCCUACGGGAGGCAGCAGUGGGGAAUUUUGCACAAUGGGGGAAACCCUGAUGCAGCGACGCCGCGUGAUUUAGAAGGCCUUCGGGUUGUAAAAAUCUUUUGUAUGGGAAGAAAAUGACAGUACCAUACGAAUAAGGACCGGCUAAUUAC
This 474-nucleotide ribosomal RNA is filed under the name uncultured bacterium. RNAcentral describes it as "partial 16S ribosomal RNA". It matches the Rfam family "Bacterial small subunit ribosomal RNA", at positions 28 to 504 of the family's 1533-position model. The record is from RNAcentral.